CGGACGGGUGAGUAACGCGUGGAUAACCUGCCGUAUGCAGGGGGAUACCAACUGGAAACAGUUGCUAAUACCGCAUAAGCGCACAGCACCGCAUGGUGCAGUGUGAAAAGAUUUAUCGGCAUACGAUGGAUCCGCGUCCGAUUAGCCAGUUGGCGGGGUAGAAGCCCACCAAAGCGACGAUCGGUAGCCGGCCUGAGAGGGCGGACGGCCACAUUGGGACUGAGACACGGCCCAAACUCCUACGGAAGGCAGCAG
Molecule: ribosomal RNA, 255 nt
Filed under: uncultured bacterium
Lineage: Bacteria
Description: partial 16S ribosomal RNA
Rfam family: Bacterial small subunit ribosomal RNA
Source: RNAcentral